CCUACGGGUGGCAGCAGUGAGGAAUAUUGGUCAAUGGGCGUGAGCCUGAACCAGCCAAGUCGCGUGAGGGAAGAAGGUACUGCGUAUUGUAAACCUCUUUUGUCAGGGAACAAAGGCGGGGACUAGUCCCCGGAUGCAUGUACCCGAAGAAAAAGCAUCGGCUAACUCCGUGCCAGCAGCCGCGGUAAUACGGAGGAUGCGAGCGUUAUCCGGAUUUAUUGGGUUUAAAGGGGGCGGAGGUGGGCUUUUAAGUCAGCGGUGAAAGUCUGGGGCUCAACCCCGGGAGAGCCGUUGAAAAUGGAGGUCUGGAGUUGGAGAGAAGUACGCGGAAUGCGUGGUGUAGCGGUGAAAUGCUUAGAUAUCGCGCAGAACCCCGAUUGCGAAGGCAGCGUACCA
This 396-nucleotide ribosomal RNA is filed under the name uncultured bacterium. RNAcentral's name for it is "partial 16S ribosomal RNA". It matches the Rfam family "Bacterial small subunit ribosomal RNA", at positions 338 to 731 of the family's 1533-position model. The record is from RNAcentral.